AACGAACGCUGGCGGCGUGCUUAACACAUGCAAGUCGAACGCGAACGGGUUCUUCGGGACCUUAGUAGAGUGGCGCACGGGUGAGUAACGCGUAAGUUAUCCACCUCGGCAUCUGGAAUAACUCACCGAAAGGUGUGCUAAUACCGGAUACGUUGAGUAAUCAAGAAAGGUGGCCUCUCUUUGAUGCUACCGUGCCGAGAGGAGCUUGCGUACCCUUAGCUAGUUGGUGGGGUAAUGGCCUACCAAGGCGACGAUGGUUAGCGGGUCUGAGAGGAUGAUCCGCCACACUGGAACUGGAACACGGACCAGACUCCCACGGGAGGCAGCAGUGAGGAAUAUUGCGCAAUGGGGGCAACCCUGACGCAGCGACGCCGCGUGGAUGAUGAAGGCCUUCGGGUCGUAAAAUCCUGUCAGGUGGAAAGAAAUGUGUAUGUGCUAAUACCAUGUAUACUUGACGGUACCACCGAAGGAAGCACCGGCUAACUCCGUGCCAGCCGCCGCAGUAA
RNAcentral lists this ribosomal RNA (506 nucleotides) under uncultured bacterium. Its description in RNAcentral is "partial 16S ribosomal RNA". It matches the Rfam family "Bacterial small subunit ribosomal RNA", at positions 29 to 523 of the family's 1533-position model. The record is from RNAcentral.